This 85-nucleotide transfer RNA is filed under the name Actinomycetota bacterium. RNAcentral describes it as "tRNA-Tyr". It matches the Rfam family "tRNA". From Rfam's summary of the family: Transfer RNA (tRNA) molecules are approximately 80 nucleotides in length. Their secondary structure includes four short double-helical elements and three loops (D, anti-codon, and T loops). Further hydrogen bonds mediate the characteristic L-shaped molecular structure. tRNAs have two regions of fundamental functional importance: the anti-codon, which is responsible for specific mRNA codon recognition, and the 3' end, to which the tRNAs corresponding amino acid is attached (by aminoacyl-tRNA synthetases). tRNAs cope with the degeneracy of the genetic code in two manners: having more than one tRNA (with a specific anti-codon) for a particular amino acid; and 'wobble' base-pairing, i.e. permitting non-standard base-pairing at the 3rd anti-codon position. Lineage: Bacteria; Bacillati; Actinomycetota. The record is from RNAcentral.
GGCAGGUUGCCCGAGCGGCCAAAGGGAGCUGACUGUAAAUCAGCCGGCAUAGCCUUCGCAGGUUCGAAUCCUGCACCUGCCACCA